RNAcentral lists this long non-coding RNA (807 nucleotides) under Cricetulus griseus (Chinese hamster). RNAcentral describes it as "lncRNA (ENSCGRG00000025854.1)". Lineage: Eukaryota; Metazoa; Chordata; Mammalia; Rodentia; Cricetidae. The record is from RNAcentral.
GACAAGCCAUGAGUGAGCAAGCCAGUAAGCAGUGUUCCUCCAUGUUUCUUCUUCAGUUCCUGCCUCUGGGUUCCUGCUUUGAGUUUCUGCCCUGACCUCCCUCAAUAAUGAACUCUAAUAAGGAAAAGAGAAUAAACCCUUUACUCCUCAAGUUUUCAUGGUAACAAUCAAACUAGGAAGCAGAAUCUCCCAGUGAACAUAAGCCAAGUGCUAAGUGGGAAGCUCACAUUGAAAAAUAUGUGCUGUCCUUGUUGGAUUUGGUGGCAUAAACCUGCAGUAUCUGCUACUUGAACUGCUGCUCCUGAUGAGGCAUUAGGAUUGCAACUUCAAAAAGAAUUCAAGGCCAUUUGAAAAGACAUAUCCAGUCCAUGGAUCCAAGACUUAAGAGAGAACAUAGAAAAUCUGAAACAUGUUCAUGAUUCCUGUCUUCCCAGAAAAGAACAGAAUGUGGCAUCACACUGCUGAGGAGAAUAGUAAGACUGGACUAAAUAGUAAGACUGGACUGAAGCUCAUACAAGGACAUCCUGUGCUUUUAGCAUUGUAUUUGUUAUCUAAGGAAACUUGGAGAUUCGACGCCAGAGCCUGAACAAAAGUAGACAAAGAAGACAACAAAGAUAUCCCCUCACAGCCCCAAGCACACUGAGGUGAUGGGAAGUUUGACGAAAACAUGUGGACAACGAAAGAAAAGUGUGCAGAUGGCUGCUUCUUGUUUGGGAAGACACUGUUAGGAGUUUCUCAAGAGGACCAGUAAGGCAAAGGUGAGAACCCAGGGCCUCUAUUAGUGACCCAAGCCAGCAUCUAUUUCGG